Molecule: transfer RNA, 73 nt
Filed under: Myotis brandtii (Brandt's bat)
Lineage: Eukaryota; Metazoa; Chordata; Mammalia; Chiroptera; Vespertilionidae
Rfam family: tRNA
About the family: Transfer RNA (tRNA) molecules are approximately 80 nucleotides in length. Their secondary structure includes four short double-helical elements and three loops (D, anti-codon, and T loops). Further hydrogen bonds mediate the characteristic L-shaped molecular structure. tRNAs have two regions of fundamental functional importance: the anti-codon, which is responsible for specific mRNA codon recognition, and the 3' end, to which the tRNAs corresponding amino acid is attached (by aminoacyl-tRNA synthetases). tRNAs cope with the degeneracy of the genetic code in two manners: having more than one tRNA (with a specific anti-codon) for a particular amino acid; and 'wobble' base-pairing, i.e. permitting non-standard base-pairing at the 3rd anti-codon position.
Source: Rfam by way of RNAcentral
GCCUGUGUGGCUCAGUGGAUAGAGCAUCGGCCUGAGGACCGAAGGGUCCCAGGUUUGAUUCCGGUCAAGGGCA